CCUACGGGUGGCAGCAGUGAGGAAUAUUGGUCAAUGGCCGGAAGGCUGAACCAGCCAUGCCACGUGAAGGUCAGUGCCCUAUGGGCGUUAAACUUCUUUUGUGCGGGAGCAAUAAUGGUCACGUGUGGCCAGACGAGAGUACCGUACGAAUAAGCAUCGGCGAACUCCGUGCAAGCAGCCGCGUGAAUAAGGGGGAUGCAAGCGAUAUCAGGCUUUAUUGGGUUUAAAGGGUGGGUAGGGUGUGAGGGAAGUCAGUGGUGAAAUGCCCCCGCGCAACGGGGUGAAGUGCCAUUGAUACUGCCUUGCUGGCAUGCGGAUGCCGUGAGAGGGAUGUGUGGUGUAGCGGUGAAAUGCAUAGAUAUCACACAGAACACCGAUUGCGAAGGCAUCUCACGAAUCCGCGAUUGACGCUGAUGCACGAAAGCGUGGGUAUCAAACAGGAUUAGAUACCCGAGUAGUC
Molecule: ribosomal RNA, 460 nt
Filed under: uncultured bacterium
Lineage: Bacteria
Description: partial 16S ribosomal RNA
Rfam family: Bacterial small subunit ribosomal RNA
Source: RNAcentral